This 4072-nucleotide long non-coding RNA is filed under the name Homo sapiens (human). RNAcentral's name for it is "long non-coding RNA NONHSAT099637.2". The record is from RNAcentral. Lineage: Eukaryota; Metazoa; Chordata; Mammalia; Primates; Hominidae.
UUCAGAUUAAGCAAAAUACAAUUUAUUCCACUGAAUAGAAAACGUUGCCUUCCAUAUCUGUCUUUGAAUUUGUAGUCGUUCCGAUUAUAAUUUGAGUUCUCAAACAUUUGAAUUACACAGUCUCUUGGUUCACUCCGACAGGUGUUUAAACAGGUGUGCGUAGGUCUUUCUACUUCAGCUCUCAGAGCCGGUCUUGUUUGCAGGUUAGUGGGUGGCGCACCUCGCGGUUGCUCCCACCCCACCCUUAGUAACAGGGUUUGAGUAGGACCCUGGGGUGGGGGAGUGGAUGCUGCUGUUUCAAGCUCGUUCGCCCAAAUACAUCUUUCUACCCACCUUCCCUAUCGUCAGAGAGGUGGCCUGACCCCAGCACGUGCAAGCUUGUCAGGCUGGGUAAGUUCCAGAACCUUCUGGAGCCAGGAUUCUCUUUCCCAGCCCUGGGCCCUGAGCUCGGCGGAUGGGAUCUGCGAGGCUCGGGGCGCAGGGGAAAUGGGGGCGUGUUCCUUUAAGGCGGAACCAGGCGGGGAGUGGGACGUCCCCCGCGGGCACAGCCCGAGCCGCACCUGGGGCCCAAUUAGCCUGGAGCGCGGCCGGGUGUGUUGAACGUAGCAACCGCGGGCGGCGGGCGGCGGGCGGCGGGCGUCUGGGGCGGGCGGCGGCCGCGCUUCCCGGGGCUCCUGGCCCUUCGGCCCUCGGGGGUCUCACGGCGCUGGGACGAGGCGGGGCUGCUCUCCGCAGCCGGGGCGCUCGGCGGACGGACCCGGGCCGGGGAAGGGCGACCCCAGCGGCGCGGAGCUGAGCGUCCUCGGGGAGGAGAGGGAGCCAGGGGCCUCCGGGGCUCCGGGUGCGGGGACCUCAGGCUCCUCGCCCCGGCCCGGGCCGCCUCGGCCGGAUCUCCGCGGUCUGAACUCUCGGGCGGCGGCGAGGACGGCGUGUCCACUGUCGAGGCAUGAAGGCUGCUGUGCUGGACCUUGGGUCUCUCUUGGCCAAACUCUUCGAGACCUCGACGGCGCCCCCCGCAGGCCCCUCCUCCAGACCCUCGGGAGGUGCUGCCGCUGCAGGGUCGGGGGGCUCCAGGGCGGGCACCCCGUUGGGUACCGCCCCGACCCUCCUCCGCGCCCUGGCUCCGGACUCCCCCUCCGCCUCGCGGCGGUCGCCCGCCCCGCUGCUCUCCUCCCCCUACUCCCGGGGCUCCGCCGCCAGCCGCGCCGCGGGAGCAGUGGGGACCCUGCUCUCUUGGCCCAGUAGCCCUAGAGCGGGUAAAGCCCCGCCCCAGCCCCCCACUCCCUCCGGCGGGGGCUGCUCCCCUGCUCGCCUGGUGGUCCCAGCGCGGCCGCCCUCGGGCCCCGGCGGGGUCUGGGCCGCGCUCCCCAGGAACCCGCUCCAGCCUGGCCCCGGAGAGCGAGAGCUCGGCGCCUGCGUGGCCCCCGGGGCUGGCCCCAGAACCCUGUUCCUUACGCUGCCUGACAUCGGCGAGGAGGGGGCCUCGGACGGCGACUCCGGGGAUGGCGAAGCGUGAGUAGCAGCGUGGUCCGGGCGCGUGUACCUUUUGCCGGGACCCCCGACCCCUCCGCCUGCCGCACUCACCUUCGCAGGUGCACUUCAGGAAAUGAAAUAUUUGUAGUAACUUUCAUAACCCCCUGGGCACCCUCCUUGCACGUUUCCUGGGUUUUUACUCCUUGGCUUUGCGGGCUUUCAGACAUAAGCUGUGACAUGCUUUGUCCAGCUUUCUCAGAGUGAAUCCUAAGGGGCCUUGAAGGAAGGGACAGAAUUUUGUUUCUCUUCUACCAGAAGCAUUGCUACUUAGAGUGUUUGUUUGGUUUUCUUAAGGACUUUUUGAAGUCCCUUUCUUUGUCUCAGAAUAUAGCAGGUGUGCAGGGAAACCGAAUACACACGUCUGCAGCAAGUGUUUUAAGAAGUGGUGAGACCUGGUGCUUUCCUAAUGUCUAAGGACCAGUCCCUAGUCUUAUCCUAAGUGGGAUGGGUCUCCUUUGUGUGACAUCUAGUUAAUUUACAUAUGCAUGACAUCAUCUGACACAAAUGGAGUUGUAAUGGCCAGGACACGUCUGAUUAUUACCCUAGAGCUCCUGAGAGCUUUCCACAGUGCCCUGAGUCACUGCAGAAACGUUGACUUCAUGGGAACAUUUUCACUGGGAAUCGGAGGCCGAUUCCCUCAACACACACACACCCACACAACACCCCUUUCACUUCCAAGAGUCGUGAUAAAAACAUUGCUCUUUUAAAAUGUGUUUUAGAACUAGGAUGAAUUUUAAUUUUUAGAGUGGAGCAUAUCGUUAGCUAUUCUUGAGUGGGUAAAUUUUCAUCCUGAAUGCUGCAAAGAAAUAGUGAAAUGGUCAAAGACAGAUGAGCCAAUUCACAGACUGAGGUUUCUGCAUUGUAAUCUAGUGAGGCCAUUCCCUACUCCCUCCAAAAAAUCCUGAGUAAUUUUUGCAUUCAUACUGAUCCUGACUCACUCACAAUUUAAAUAAUUACAGUUUCACAAAAUUGAAUGAUAUUCAUGUCAAUAUGAAAACAAGCGGCCGGGCACGGUGGCUCACGCCUGUAAUCCCAGCACUUUGGGAGGCCGAGGCGGGCGGAUCAUGAGGUCAGGAGAUCGAGACCAUCCUGGCUAACACGAUGAAACCCCGUCUCUACUAAAAAUACAAAAAAUUAGCCGGGCGUGGUGGUACGUGCCUGUAGUCCCAGCUACUCGGAAGGCUGAGGCAAGAGGAUGAUGGCGUGAACCCGGGAGGCGGAGCUUGCAGUGAGCCAAGAUCGCACCAUUGCGCUCCAACCUGGGCGACAGAGAGAGAGACUCCGUCUCAAAAAAACAACAACAAAAAAGAAAAUAAGCAGUUAAGCAAAAAGUUGUUCCCACUCAUUAAAAAAUACUAUAUUAUGACAUAUGUUUAUCAACUGAUAGUUUUCCCUAUCAGUUAAUUGCUUUUGGAAAACUCACUGGAAUACAUAUGCCUGAGGAAUUAGAUCUUUGUUAUUGGCAACUGGUCCUUAACAUUUAUGCAAUUAAUGUUUUAUGAGCAAACAGAUCUACACACUGACCUUAAACUCUAGUCUUAGUGCUUUUAACAAAUAGGCACUGAAAUAUGCAGCAUGGCCAGUGAAACUGGUGUUAGUUUCAAUUCUUGAACAUAUUAGCUCAUGUUUAUAUUGUGCAAAUAUUUGGAAUAGAUACUUUUUGAAUAACACUGCAUUUGGCAUUAUUUACAUAAGAGAUUAUUCUGAAUUAACAAAUGCAUUCAAUUUUAUGGACAGUGAAGAAAUUGAAUUUUUAAAUUAUUAUUACUUUUUGAGAUGAGGUCUCCUUCUGUCACCCAGGUUGGAGUGCAGUGGUAUGAUCACUGUUCAUUGCAGCCUCAACCUCCCAGGCUCAAGCGAUCUGAUUCUCCCGUCUCAGACUCUCGAGUAGCUGGGACUACAGGUGUGAGCUACUAUGCCUGGCCAAUUUUAAAAAUGUUUCUGUGGAGACGGGGUCUCCCUAUGUUGCCCAGGCUGGUCUUGAACUCCUGGCCUCAAGCAAUCUUCCCACCUGGGCAUUGCUGGGAUUACAGGCAUGAGCCACUGCAUCUGGCCAUGAAAUUGAAUUUUAGGUAAGUGCCAUGAGAAGUAAUAUACACAGCUAGGUGCUUUGCAGAAUCCUCCUGAGUUUGUGUGUUCCUACUGUCUGCAGCAGCAGGUAGAGGCACACACAGGCAGGAAGCAGACUGGCCCUCUGAGCAUACCAUUUUUCCUUUCAGAUCCACGACUACUCACAUUCCCUUCCUCUCAUCAUACCCCACUCCUUUUUCAAUCACUAAAACAUAAGAGACAAAGGGGAAGGAAGAAAGUAUUAAGACGGCUUUUCUUUCAAUACUGCAGACUUUGCACCUUGAAGGAUUCUUUUUCCCUCCUGGAUUUCUGUGGUAGUGAUUUAUAACACCGAAUAAACAAACAUAAGACAAUGAAUUUAAAUUUGCUCCUACCAUCUCAUCUGUCACUUGGCAGAUAGCUGCUGCUGUUAGCCUGUGUGGUUAAUAUUAAAAUCAGGAAUUUAAAUUUCAAAAGCCUGGAAACUUGG